RNAcentral lists this long non-coding RNA (207 nucleotides) under Chloebia gouldiae (Gouldian finch). RNAcentral's name for it is "Erythrura gouldiae (Gouldian finch) lncRNA (ENSEGOG00005000055.1)". The record is from RNAcentral. Lineage: Eukaryota; Metazoa; Chordata; Aves; Passeriformes; Passeridae.
AUGGAAUAUAGCUUCCUCAGCUGCCAGAGCUCAUCCCUGUUAGACAAAAGCUCUGACUUGUCCAUAUUGCUAAAUAAGUCAGUGGGACAUAAGAAUACCCAGAACUUUGGAAAUUAUGGCAUUCAUACAGGGAGACCUCAGCAAAUCUCUAGGCUGUGCAUGCAGAAUUGCUGAGGGUGAUUCUCUAAGGAAGUUUACAGGUCAUUA